UACGAAGGUCCCGAGCGUUAUCCGGAUUUAUUGGGUUUAAAGGGUGCGUAGGCGGGUUAUUAAGUCAGUGGUGAAAGCCUUCAGCUUAACUGAAGAACUGCCAUUGAUACUGAUGAUCUUGAGUAUGAUUGAGGUGGGCGGAAUGUGUCAUGUAGCGGUGAAAUGCUUAGAUAUGACACAGAACACCAAUUGCGAAGGCAGCUUACUAAAGUAUGAUUGACGCUGAGGCACGAAAGCGUGGGGAUCAAACAGG
This 253-nucleotide ribosomal RNA is filed under the name uncultured bacterium. Its description in RNAcentral is "partial 16S ribosomal RNA". It matches the Rfam family "Bacterial small subunit ribosomal RNA", at positions 524 to 776 of the family's 1533-position model. The record is from RNAcentral.